Acanthosepion pharaonis is the source of this 97-nucleotide non-coding RNA. Lineage: Eukaryota; Metazoa; Mollusca; Cephalopoda; Sepiida; Sepiidae. The record is from the annotation of a GenBank genome assembly.
CUGAAAAACCGGUUCUCGUACAAUCACCGAAGUUAAGCUACGUUGAUCCUGGACAGUACCUAGUUGGGUGACCGCUUGAGAAUACCAGGUGCUGUAA